This 695-nucleotide ribosomal RNA is filed under the name Micromonospora sp. SAUK6062. RNAcentral's name for it is "bacterial SSU rRNA". It matches the Rfam family "Bacterial small subunit ribosomal RNA", at positions 56 to 771 of the family's 1533-position model. The record is from RNAcentral. Lineage: Bacteria; Bacillati; Actinomycetota; Actinomycetes; Micromonosporales; Micromonosporaceae.
UGCAGUCGAGCGGAAGGCCCUUCGGGGUACUCGAGCGGCGAACGGGUGAGUAACACGUGAGCAACCUGCCCCAAGCUUUGGGAUAACCCUCGGAAACGGGGGCUAAUACCGAAUAGGACCGCUGGCCGCAUGGCUGGUGGUGGAAAGUUUUUCGGCUUGGGAUGGGCUCGCGGCCUAUCAGCUUGUUGGUGGGGUGAUGGCCUACCAAGGCGACGACGGGUAGCCGGCCUGAGAGGGCGACCGGCCACACUGGGACUGAGACACGGCCCAGACUCCUACGGGAGGCAGCAGUGGGGAAUAUUGCACAAUGGGCGGAAGCCUGAUGCAGCGACGCCGCGUGAGGGAUGACGGCCUUCGGGUUGUAAACCUCUUUCAGCAGGGACGAAGCGAGAGUGACGGUACCUGCAGAAGAAGCACCGGCCAACUACGUGCCAGCAGCCGCGGUAAGACGUAGGGUGCGAGCGUUGUCCGGAUUUAUUGGGCGUAAAGAGCUCGUAGGCGGCUUGUCGCGUCGACCGUGAAAACUUGGGGCUCAACCCCAAGCCUGCGGUCGAUACGGGCAGGCUAGAGUUCGGUAGGGGAGACUGGAAUUCCUGGUGUAGCGGUGAAAUGCGCAGAUAUCAGGAGGAACACCGGUGGCGAAGGCGGGUCUCUGGGCCGAUACUGACGCUGAGGAGCGAAAGCGUGGGGAGCGA